UUCUUCCUACGGGAGGCAGCAGUGAGGAAUAUUGGUCAACGGGCGGAAGCCUGAACCAGCCACGUGGCGUGAGAGAAUAAGGCCCUACGGGUCGUAAACCUCUGUUGCCGGGGAGCAAGGGCGGGGACGUGUCCCGGCCCGGAGAGGACCCGGAGAAAAAGCAUCGGCUAAAUCCGUGCCAGCAGCCGCGGGAAUACGGAGGAUGCGAGCGUUAUCCGGGUUUAUUGGGGUUAAAGGGUGCGUAGGCGGGCUUUUAAGUCAGCGGUAAAAAAUCGGGGCCCAAACC
RNAcentral lists this ribosomal RNA (286 nucleotides) under uncultured bacterium. RNAcentral's name for it is "partial 16S ribosomal RNA". It matches the Rfam family "Bacterial small subunit ribosomal RNA", at positions 333 to 615 of the family's 1533-position model. The record is from RNAcentral.